RNAcentral lists this ribosomal RNA (429 nucleotides) under Actinomycetes bacterium. RNAcentral's name for it is "Actinobacteria bacterium partial 16S ribosomal RNA". It matches the Rfam family "Bacterial small subunit ribosomal RNA", at positions 355 to 776 of the family's 1533-position model. Lineage: Bacteria; Bacillati; Actinomycetota; Actinomycetes. The record is from RNAcentral.
UAGGGAAUCUUCCGCAAUGGGCGAAAGCCUGACGGAGCAACGCCGCGUGAGUGAUGAAGGUCUUCGGAUCGUAAAACUCUGUUAUUAGGGAAGAACAAAUGUGUAAGUAACUAUGCACGUCUUGACGGUACCUAAUCAGAAGGCCACGGCUAACUACGUGCCAGCAGCCGCGGUAAUACGUAGGUGGCAAGCGUUAUCCGGAAUUAUUGGGCGUAAAGCGCGCGUAGGCGGUUUUUUAAGUCUGAUGUGAAAGCCCACGGCUCAACCGUGGAGGGUCAUUGGAAACUGGAAAACUUGAGUGCAGAAGAGGAAAGUGGAAUUCCAUGUGUAGCGGUGAAAUGCGCAGAGAUAUGGAGGAACACCAGUGGCGAAGGCGACUUUCUGGUCUGUAACUGACGCUGAUGUGCGAAAGCGUGGGGAUCAAACAGG